UAUGAGCAGGCGCUAAACCUGGUUUAGGUAUUUAGGCAGCGCGCGGCCCGGCUCGUAACUCCUCCUGCUGCAGCAGGCGUAUCGUUGGCCUCGCCUCGACCCCGGAAGUGACUUCUGGAAGUGACCCAGGAAGUGACAUACUCUGAGCAGCUACAAAAAGAAGACCAGUCUAUCCUGCUGGAGACAGUGGCCACGUGAAGAAAGAGCUCUUGCAGUAUGAAAGACCACAUGGAAAGAGAGGCCACAUGGAACCAACAGUCAGCAUCUUGGUUUCGGACACGUGAAGAAAUUCAUCUCAGACUGUGUAUCCUAAAUCAGGCACUUGCUGAAUCUAACUACAUGAGUGAGACCAGUUGACAACACAUGGAGCAGACAUGAGCUGUUCUCAGUGAGUCCUACACAAAUUCCUGACUCACAACACUGUGAGCAAUAAAAUGGUUGUUAUUUUAAGCCACUGAAGUUUGCAGUGAUUUCUUACAUAGGAAUAGAUAAAUGAAACACAAACAUUGAUCAUUUGCAUCUUCUAUCUUUUUUAUGACUAGUCUUAUUGGAAAUUACCAGUUUAUUUCUGCCAUGGUUAGAAAACAAACUCUGAAAUUUUGAUACUUUAAAAUUUUUUUGAGACUUACUGUGCCCAGAAUAUAGUCUAUCUUGGUGAAUGUUCUGUGAGCACUAGACAAGAAUAUGUAUUCUGUAGUUAUUGAGCAUUGUGUCCAUCAAUGUCAACGUGAUUAAGGUGGUUAAUAGUUGUCUUCAGAUCUUCUAUAUUGUAUUGAUUGUUUUAUGUGUAGUGUUGCUAUUAAUUAUUGAUACAGGAGUGUAAAACUUAAACUAUGGCUGUGAAUUUGCCACUUACUUUAGUUUUGUCAGCUUUUCUUUUGCAUUUUUGAAGCUCUGUUAUUGGGCAUAUAAACAUUUAUGGUUCGUGUGUCUUCCUGAUGAAUUGACCAUUUUAUCAUUAUGAAAUGUCUUUAUUGCUGAUAAUACUCCUUAUCUUGAAGUCUAAUUCAUCCGAUAUUAGUAUAGCCACUGCAGCCUUCCUAGCUUACUGUUUACUGGUAUAUUUUUAUCCAUGUUUUUACUUUCAACCUGUGUUUUUUAAUUUAAUGUGCUUCUCUUAUAGACAACAG
RNAcentral lists this long non-coding RNA (1130 nucleotides) under Homo sapiens (human). Its description in RNAcentral is "PREDICTED lncRNA (TCONS_00011514)". The record is from RNAcentral. Lineage: Eukaryota; Metazoa; Chordata; Mammalia; Primates; Hominidae.